Molecule: small RNA, 218 nt
Filed under: Arabidopsis thaliana (thale cress)
Lineage: Eukaryota; Viridiplantae; Streptophyta; Magnoliopsida; Brassicales; Brassicaceae
Description: ATSL198460
Source: RNAcentral
UAUAUGAUUGAGUAUAAGACCUAGAACCCCAACCGGUUCCCAAAAGUUAAAGUUGUGUUUCCUUGUUAGGAGAUACAAAGCCAAAGACUCGUACGGACUUUGGCUACACCAUAAAAGCUUUGAGAAGCAUGUAGAAGCUAGGUUAAUGUUUUGGAGUCAAGUAUGACAAGAUGUCAUGUGUAUGAUUGAGUAUAAGAACUAGAACCGCAACCGGUUCC